Molecule: long non-coding RNA, 2089 nt
Filed under: Homo sapiens (human)
Lineage: Eukaryota; Metazoa; Chordata; Mammalia; Primates; Hominidae
Description: long non-coding RNA NONHSAT203262.1
Source: RNAcentral
UCGAUCUACCCUUAUCCCCUUUUCCAAAGCGGCGCAAACAAUUACCAGCACGUUCUCAGCGCUAGGUCUAAUUGGGUGAGUUUUUAUUGUAGAAAUGCGCCCCUGAAGAUGUGAGACGCGUAGGUGGGCCCCUGCGCCUUUCCACCGGCCUCCCACUGCCCGUGCUCACAGAAGAAACUGGGUCCUUAGACCCAGGCGGGACCCACUGAAACCCCGCGUUCAGUCAUUUCCCAGGGGGAUGCGGCCCCCCAGUGCCAACCUUCCAAAGUUCAGGUGAGUUCACGACGCUCGGAUCCUAGUGGGGUCCUCCUCGGUGUCAAGGAGCAAGAGAGGCCGUAGCAGCUGUGGGAAACAGCCACAGGGCCUGCGAGUCCAGACGGGUAGCUCCAGGCUAGUUGCACGCUUGCGGUUCCUGCCCCUUCCGUGUGCAAAGUAAGGAAGUCAGCAGGCGGCGAGCAAGCAGGCGAAGGCCGAAUGGCGCAGCUGGCAACCGAUGAAGAGGACGACGAGCGCCACCGAGAGCAGCAGCAGGAAGAAGAGCAGCAGGUAGGUGGGCAGGUCGGGCUUUGGCGGCUGCCCGGGGGAGCGGCUGCGAACCAAUGAGGGCAAGAGAGGACGCGGCUGCGACUGCCCCCAGCCCGGCCUCACAUCACUCAGGGACAGAGGGACAGAGACAGGGACAGAGAGAGAGAGAGAAAGAGAGAAAAGCACAGGGUCACAGGAAGACUGACGGGCAAAGACACAGUUACAGACCUAUGAACAGAGCCACACGCCAAACAGGGACAAACCGUUGAGGUAAGAGUUGGGAAGAUGUGGCAAAACAGGACUUAUAUUCCUUAUGGCAACGAUGGGCUGAGCUGAGUGUCUGCAGCCUGCUUUAGGCAGGGCACGGCUGUGCAGUCUGUCAUCGUCCCUCGUCACUCCCAUCAAUGCUGGCACCAACCUCACUUCUAUUUAUCGCCUCAUCUGAUCGGCUGUUUCUUAUAGCAGAGACGUCUGCAAGGCAUGUGAAUUUGUAACCAUCACCCUCCUCACAGGGUUGCUGUGAGGAUCCGGUGGACUGAUGCAUGCAAAGCCCCGAGCACAGUGCCUGGUACACGGCAAAAGCUGAAUACUUCUGGCCAGCCCUAGGAAUAUUUCCUUGGGAGCAGAGGGCUCUUCUGGAAGCUUCUGGAAGAUGAAUGGCAUCUUCGCACACCUGCUCCGAACAGGCAUUGUUUGGGACUCAGCGCCCUCUGGUGGCUGCUCUCCCCACUCACACUUAGCCUCUUCCUUGGUUGGGGGGACACUUUGAGGCCUCAUUCCUGCCCCUCCCCUUCCUUUCACAUGGAGGAAAGUUCUAGAAUGGGGUGGGAGAAAACUUUCCACUUGUUCUGCAUUUCCUUUACCUCCUUCCUGACCUUAGGUCUGGGCACAGGAGGAGGGGCUUGGAGGUGGAGGCUGGAGCUUCUGGGGGUCCUGGCUGCAUGACUCUAAGGAGGGUGGUGCCUUCGUCCCCACCCAACCCCCACCGCAUCGGCCCAUUCUCCUCCCGAAGCAUCCCUGGGCCACAGGUUCCCAAGGCCACCUCCAGACUGGGCCCGCGAGUGGGGCGGCCCUGGUAGCGUAUCCACAGAAGUUAUUAUGAGGAGGAGCCUGGAGAGAAUGGCUCGGCACAGCAGAUGCAGCCGUGGUGGCCAUGGAGCUGACCAGCCUCUUGGGAGUGAGCUGGCCACCUGAGCACGGUCCACUCAGCCCACACAAGCAGCAGCACCACCUCGCUGACAGGAGCUUCGUCAAUGCCUGCCGCCUCCUCCUUCCAUAACGAGGGACCACCUAGCAGGGACUUUCACUUUUAUUUCCACAGAGAACCUUGUGGUUAGAAGUCCAAUGGGUCUAGGCUGUGGGAAUCUUCUUAUUAACCACAAACAGAUGUCAAAAGGAUCUUUCCUAAUACUGUAGAUACUGCACUUGGCUCGUGUGGGAGUCCACUGUCUGUGGAAACAUUACUCGUCUAUUUUUCAGGUCUGCAGAGCCCAGACUGAAAAACACAUUAAAAAAAUGGUUUUGUGAAAAAUAACAAUUCAGACACCCUGGAGCCUAAGGAAAA